Molecule: ribosomal RNA, 105 nt
Filed under: Dracunculus medinensis (Guinea worm)
Lineage: Eukaryota; Metazoa; Nematoda; Chromadorea; Rhabditida; Dracunculidae
Source: RNAcentral
GUUUUUGUUCAUAUAGCCAAAAACACGACAUCCCGUCCGAUCUGUCAAGUUAAGCAACGUUGAGCUUGGUUAGUACUAGGAUCGGAGAAUAAAACUAUUAAAUCU